Molecule: ribosomal RNA, 405 nt
Filed under: uncultured bacterium
Lineage: Bacteria
Description: bacterial SSU rRNA
Rfam family: Bacterial small subunit ribosomal RNA
Source: RNAcentral
AACGAACGCUGGCGGCAGGCCUAACACAUGCAAGUCGAACGAACCUUCGGGUUAGUGGCGCACGGGUGCGUAACACGUGGGAAUAUACAUUUCGGUAAGGAAUAACACAGAGAAAUUUGUGCUAAUACCUUAUAAUGACUCCGGUCCAAAGAUUUAUCGCCAAGGGAUCAGCCCGCGUCAGAUUAGAUAGUUGGUGGGGUAAUGGCCUACCAAGUCUACGAUCCGUAGGGGGUCUGAGAGGAUGAUCCCCCACACUGGUACGUGAGACACGGACCACGACUCCUACGGGAGGGCAGCAGUGAGGAAUAAUUAGACAAUAGGGCGGAAAGACCUCGAUCUAGCCAUGCCGCCGUGAGUGAAGAAAGGCCGUUAGGGUUUGGUAAAGACUCUUUCUAAUAAGUGAAG